RNAcentral lists this unclassified non-coding RNA (206 nucleotides) under soil metagenome. RNAcentral's name for it is "partial contains small subunit ribosomal RNA, internal transcribed spacer 1, and 5.8S ribosomal RNA". The record is from RNAcentral.
UCUCCGUAGGUGAACCUGCGGAGGGAUCAUUACCAAAGAUGGCGGGCCUCCGCGCCCCCGUCCCCAACCCAUUGUUGACCAAAACCCUUUUGCCUCGGGGGCAGAGCGUCCGCCGCCGCCCCCGGAGGACCAUUUAACGCUGUCUCUUUGCGUCGGAGUAUUGAUUAAAUGAAUGAAAACUUUCAACAACGGAUCUCUUGGUUCUG